UGCAGUCGAACGCUUCUUUUCCCACCGGAGCUUGCUCCACCGGGAAAAGAGGAGUGGCGAACGGGUGAGUAACACGUGGGUAACCUGCCCAUCAGAAGGGGAUAACACUUGGAAACAGGUGCUAAUACCGUAUAACAAUCGAAACCGCAUGGUUUCGUUUUGAAAGGCGCUUUACGGUGCCGCUGAUGGAUGGACCCGCGGUGCAUUAGCUAGUUGGUGAGGUAACGGCUCACCAAGGCCACGAUGCAUAGCCGACCUGAGAGGGUGAUCGGCCACAUUGGGACUGAGACACGGCCCAAACUCCUACGGGAGGCAGCAGUAGGGAAUCUUCGGCAAUGGACGAAAGUCUGACCGAGCAACGCCGCGUGAGUGAAGAAGGUUUUCGGAUCGUAAAACUCUGUUGUUAGAGAAGAACAAGGGUGAGAGUAACUGUUCACCCCUUGACGGUAUCUAACCAGAAAGCCACGGCUAACUACGUGCCAGCAGCCGCGGUAAUACGUAGGUGGCAAGCGUUGUCCGGAUUUAUUGGGCGUAAAGCGAGCGCAGGCGGUUUCUUAAGUCUGAUGUGAAAGCCCCCGGCUCAACCGGGGAGGGUCAUUGGAAACUGGGAGACUUGAGUGCAGAAGAGGAGAGUGGAAUUCCAUGUGUAGCGGUGAAAUGCGUAGAUAUAUGGAGGAACACCAGUGGCGAAGGCGGCUCUCUGGUCUGUAACUGACGCUGAGGCUCGAAAGCGUGGGGAGCAAACAGGAUUAGAUACCCUGGUAGUCCACGCCGUAAACGAUGAGUGCUAAGUGUUGGAGGGUUUCCGCCCUUCAGUGCUGCAGCUAACGCAUUAAGCACUCCGCCUGGGGAGUACGACCGCAAGGUUGAAACUCAAAGGAAUUGACGGGGGCCCGCACAAGCGGUGGAGCAUGUGGUUUAAUUCGAAGCAACGCGAAGAACCUUACCAGGUCUUGACAUCCUUUGACCACUCUAGAGAUAGAGCUUCCCCUUCGGGGGCAAAGUGACAGGUGGUGCAUGGUUGUCGUCAGCUCGUGUCGUGAGAUGUUGGGUUAAGUCCCGCAACGAGCGCAACCCUUAUUGUUAGUUGCCAUCAUUUAGUUGGGCACUCUAGCAAGACUGCCGGUGACAAACCGGAGGAAGGUGGGGAUGACGUCAAAUCAUCAUGCCCCUUAUGACCUGGGCUACACACGUGCUACAAUGGGAAGUACAACGAGUCGCGAAGUCGCGAGGCUAAGCUAAUCUCUUAAAGCUUCUCUCAGUUCGGAUUGUAGGCUGCAACUCGCCUACAUGAAGCCGGAAUCGCUAGUAAUCGCGGAUCAGCACGCCGCGGUGAAUACGUUCCCGGGCCUUGUACACACCGCCCGUCACACCACGAGAGUUUGUAACACCCGAAGUCGGUGAGGUAACCUUUUGGAGCCAGCC
Molecule: ribosomal RNA, 1425 nt
Filed under: Enterococcus mundtii
Lineage: Bacteria; Bacillati; Bacillota; Bacilli; Lactobacillales; Enterococcaceae
Description: bacterial SSU rRNA
Rfam family: Bacterial small subunit ribosomal RNA
Source: RNAcentral